GGUAGCUAAGUGCGGAAGAGAUAAGUGCUGAAAGCAUCUAAGCACGAAACUUGCCCCGAGAUGAGUUCUCCCUGACAAAGAGUCAGUAAGGGUUGUUGAAGACGACGACGUAGAUAGGUGGGGUGUGUAAGCGGUGUGAGCCGUUGAGCUAACCCAUACUAAUUGCCCGAGAGGCUUAACUAUACAACACUGAAGGGUUUU
RNAcentral lists this ribosomal RNA (201 nucleotides) under Gallibacterium anatis. Its description in RNAcentral is "partial 23S ribosomal RNA". It matches the Rfam family "Bacterial large subunit ribosomal RNA", at positions 2744 to 2925 of the family's 2925-position model. Lineage: Bacteria; Pseudomonadati; Pseudomonadota; Gammaproteobacteria; Pasteurellales; Pasteurellaceae. The record is from RNAcentral.